RNAcentral lists this ribosomal RNA (253 nucleotides) under uncultured bacterium. RNAcentral's name for it is "partial 16S ribosomal RNA". It matches the Rfam family "Bacterial small subunit ribosomal RNA", at positions 524 to 776 of the family's 1533-position model. The record is from RNAcentral.
UACGUAGGGGGCGAGCGUUGUCCGGAAUUAUUGGACGUAAAGAGCGUGUAGGCGGUUCGGUAAGUCUGCCGUGAAAACCUGGGGCUCAACCCCGGGCGUGCGGUGGAUACUGCCGGGCUAGAGGGUGGUAGAGGCGAGUGGAAUUCCCGGUGUAGCGGUGAAAUGCGCAGAUAUCGGGAGGAACACCAGUAGCGAAGGCGGCUCGCUGGGCCAUUCCUGACGCUGAGACGCGAAAGCUAGGGGAGCGAACAGG